This 308-nucleotide non-coding RNA is filed under the name Thermoanaerobacterium saccharolyticum. Its description in RNAcentral is "T-box sequence". It matches the Rfam family "T-box leader". Rfam says of the family: Uncharged tRNA acts as the effector for transcription antitermination of genes in the T-box leader family. T-boxes are found upstream of many aminoacyl-tRNA synthetase genes and some amino acid biosynthetic genes usually in Gram-positive bacteria. The anticodon of a specific tRNA base pairs to a specifier sequence within the T-box motif, and the NCCA acceptor tail of the tRNA base pairs to a conserved bulge in the T-box antiterminator hairpin. The record is from RNAcentral. Lineage: Bacteria; Bacillati; Bacillota; Clostridia; Thermoanaerobacterales; Thermoanaerobacteraceae.
AAAAAAUCGAUGAGCAGGAAUAGUAAAUAUCGCAUUAGGUUAAAGCGAGCUUGGGAUGGUGGAAGCCAAGUACUGACGGCGUUAUUGAAUGGGCCUGCGAGAUGGCGUGUGAAAUAAAAGUAGCAUUGCCCGGUAGUCUACCGUUAAAAUGACAGGGUAUCGAGAAAUCCGUACCUUCAAUGAGAGGUUUUGUACUUAGGUGGCAAAGCGAAAUGAAAGCAUUUCGUCCUUAGUGGAUGAGAUGCUUUUUUUAACCACAUAAGUAUAAAACAAUUUGGGUGGCACCACGAAGUCACUUCGUCCCAUUG